This is a long non-coding RNA of Myotis davidii, 315 nucleotides long. RefSeq lists it as uncharacterized. The record is from RefSeq and is a predicted model, not a curated record. Lineage: Eukaryota; Metazoa; Chordata; Mammalia; Chiroptera; Vespertilionidae. The transcript has 3 exons.
AGAAAAUCAAGUGUAAUUUCCUAAGUUGCUGAAGCAAGGGUUCUUCUGUGAAAUCACCAUUAGUAUUUCUAAAUCCAAUUUGAUUAUAUUUAAGAUUUACUGCGCACAGUUCAGUGGCACCUGGGAAUUUCUUCAGGCGGAGAUGGAAUUACGAGUAUUCAUCACUUCUACUAGUAUCUCCACAGGAAGUAGAAUACAGGCAAUAUUAUCAUGAGCCUUCUUCUGCACCCACUCACUCACUCAUUUUGAAAGGCAAUGAAACCAAGGACAUUCUCGUGUCUCAGCAUCACCGUCUGGUAAAUUUCUGCCUCACGA